GGCGCAAUGGAAACGGAAAAUAUUUGGCAGACUGUAAAUCUGUUGCGAUUCGCUUCGGUGGUUCGAAUCCACCCUCCUCCA
RNAcentral lists this transfer RNA (81 nucleotides) under Caudoviricetes sp. RNAcentral's name for it is "tRNA-Tyr". The record is from RNAcentral. Lineage: Duplodnaviria; Heunggongvirae; Uroviricota; Caudoviricetes.